This 423-nucleotide ribosomal RNA is filed under the name alpha proteobacterium SCGC AAA027-L15. RNAcentral's name for it is "bacterial SSU rRNA". It matches the Rfam family "Bacterial small subunit ribosomal RNA", at positions 348 to 787 of the family's 1533-position model. Lineage: Bacteria; Pseudomonadati; Pseudomonadota; Alphaproteobacteria. The record is from RNAcentral.
GCACCAGUGGGGAAUCUUGCACAAUGGAGGAAACUCUGAUGCAGCGAUGCCGCGUGAGUGAAGAAGGCCUUUGGGUUGUAAAGCUCUUUUGUAGGGGAAGAUAAUGACUGUACCCUAAGAAUAAGGUCCGGCUAACUUCGUGCCAGCAGCCGCGGUAAUACGAAGGGACCUAGCGUAGUUCGGAAUUACUGGGCGUAAAGCGCGCGUAGGCCGUUGAGUUAGUUAAUUGUGAAAUCCCAAAGCUUAACUUUGGAACUGCAAUUAAAACUGCUCGGACUAGAGUUUGAUAGAGGAAAGCGGAAUACAUAGUGUAGAGGUGAAAUUCGUAGAUAUUAUGUAGAACACCAGUUGCGAAGGCGGCUUUCUGGAUCAACACUGACGCUGAGGCGCGAAAGUAUGGGUAGCAAAGAGGAUUAGAUACCC